Molecule: ribosomal RNA, 465 nt
Filed under: uncultured bacterium
Lineage: Bacteria
Description: partial 16S ribosomal RNA
Rfam family: Bacterial small subunit ribosomal RNA
Source: RNAcentral
CCUACGGGAGGCAGCAGUAGGGAAUCUUCCACCAUGGGCGAAAGCCUGCUGCAGCAACGCCGCGUGGGUGAAGAAGGUUUUCGGAUCGUAAACCCCUGUUGUUAGAGAAGAUAGUGCGUGUGAGUCACUGUUCACGUUUCGCUGGUAUCUAACCAGAAAGCCACGGCUAACUACGUGCCAGCAGCCUCGGUAAUCCGGAGGUGGCAAGCGUUAUCCGGAUUUAUUGGGCGGAAAGGGAACGCAGGCGGGCUUUUAAGUCGGAUGUGAAAGCCGUCGGCUUAACCGGAGUAGUGCAUUGGAAACUGGGAGACUUGAGUGCAGAAGAGGAGAGUGGAACUCCAUGGGUAGCGGUGAAAUGCGUAGAUAUAUGGAAGAACACCAGUGGCGAAAGAGGCUCUCUGGUCUAUAACUGACGCUGAGGUUCGAAAGCGUGGGUAGCAAACAGGAUUAGAUACCCCAGUAGUC